Molecule: ribosomal RNA, 487 nt
Filed under: uncultured Sphingobacteriales bacterium
Lineage: Bacteria; Pseudomonadati; Bacteroidota; Sphingobacteriia; Sphingobacteriales
Description: bacterial SSU rRNA
Rfam family: Bacterial small subunit ribosomal RNA
Source: RNAcentral
CAGAAACUACAAAGGAAUUGACGGGGCCCGCACAAGCGGAGGAGCAUGUGGUUUAAUUCGAUGAUACGCGAGGAACCUUACCUGGGCUCGAACGUAAGAUGACUGUAGGUGAAAGCUUACAUCUCUUCGGAGCAUUUUACGAGGUGCUGCAUGGUUGUCGUCAGCUCGUGCCGUGAGGUGUCGGGUUAAGUCCCAUAACGAGCGCAACCCCUACCUUUAGUUGCCAUCAGGUAAUGCUGGGGACUCUAAAGGAACUGCCUACGCAAGUAGUGAGGAAGGCGGGGAUGACGUCAAAUCAGCACGGCCCUUACGUCCAGGGCUACACACGUGCUACAAUGGCCGAUACAGAGGGCAGCUACCUGGUGACAGGAUGCAAAUCUCCAAAGUCGGUCUCAGUUCGGAUCGGAGUCUGCAACCCGACUCCGUGAAGUUGGAUUCGCUAGUAAUCGUGAAUCAGAAUGUCACGGUGAAUACGUUCCCGGGCCUU